UGAUAAUAAUACAGUAGAAAUCGGUGGAUGUCUGAUGCUGCUAUAAUCAUGGGCUUGUCAUAGACUUCCGUUUUUGACACCGAUUAGUCGGACUGCGGUUGACUUUCCACUUGCCGGAAGAUGGAGGCAUAAAAUUGAAGGCACGGGGUUAGUGCACAAUAAUAUAAAAGAGUUUAGGUUAAAGAUCGACAUUAAGGGCAAAAAGGAACUUAAUUGGAGA
Molecule: long non-coding RNA, 220 nt
Organism: Hibiscus syriacus
Lineage: Eukaryota; Viridiplantae; Streptophyta; Magnoliopsida; Malvales; Malvaceae
Exons: 3
Source: RefSeq, a predicted model, not a curated record